CAACUGGCACCCUGCCAAGCUUCUCACCCUGGCCAGGGAUGGCACACUCCUGGCUACAUACACAGACCCAGCACUAGUGUACCCAUCUGGUCUACAUGUGACCCCUGCAGGCCAGGUGCUGGUCUGUGGAAACUGGUCCCACACUGUACUACAGGUGGGCUGGGAGGGAGAGAGUAAGCUGGCUACGCUGGCUACUCAGGAGGAUGGAGUGAGCUGGCCACGGUCAGUCUGCUACAGCAGCACAACAUCAUCCAUCAUUGUGGGACAGUGGGACGACACCAUCCUUGUUUUCAGAGUGGAAUAGUGUGUACAUUCGCUGCUGAGUCAGAACAAGGAUGCUGAGGAUGUGGUGGACAAGGAUGACAUGACUACGCAGAAGCAACUGCUAAGCACAGAAGACAACGGAGUAGUGAAAGGCUCAGCCAAAUCAAAGUCAAGCGAUGUGAGGGUGACACAGCCUUUCCAUGUCCUUGUAUUGCAACAUGAAGGACAUUUUAGCUGAAACUAACAAGGGAGAGAACUGUAGAUCUGCACCAGCACAGAGCACCAGCAUUGAUAUCGAGUUGGCCCAGCAACCGCACGAGUCCCGCCUGCAGGAGCCCCAGUCCAGAACGACCCUUCCCCUCCCCUGACUUCUAACUCCUCCCCCUUGACCUCCUGACUCAAAAAGUCAGCAUCGUUGAACAACUCCGUUCUGCAGAAAAUUCCGAGCAUGAUUCUGGUCUGAACAAACACAAUGCCCACGUCAAGUUGUCCACACAUAAGCCUGGGUAGUUCUGUUAAGCUAGAGUUCCGCGUUGGCCUGAGAGGGACGAGUUUUACAAACACGAAAAGUUAUAGCUGUAGUUAUGGUAACGCUAAAAGUCAGUUGUUGCUGUUGGACAUCACAACAAAUAUCCUGAAGAAUAAAAAGUUCAAUAACUUGUUCCAAUCUUUAUGGGACAAACAGAAAUUGGACAGGAGAAAAUCAAGGAACAAUAAAAGCGUAAGCUUUCCUAGUGGGAUGCUUCUGCUGUUGAUAGUUUGGACGACAAUAGGGUUACGGACUGCCCCAGAUUGUCCUCUCAGCGGCCAAAAUAUCAUAAUAGAACGGACUUUUGGCAAUGUUACCGACAAAGAAAGGCAGUAAUGACUUGGUUGUGAAUACCCAGAGCACGAUACAUCCAUGCUGACACGAAAAGGCAGUAAUGACUUGGUGGUGAAAACCCAGAGCACGCUACAUCCUUGCUGACAAAGAAAUGCAGUAAUGACUUGGUUGUGAAUACCCAGAGCAUGCUACAUCCAUGCUGACACAGAAAGGCAGUAAUGACUAUGCUGUGAACACCCAGAGCAAGAUAUAUCCAUGCUGACACAGAAAGGAAGUAAUGACUAUGCUGUGAACACCCAGAGCAAGAUAUAUCCAUGCUGACACAAAAA
Molecule: long non-coding RNA, 1416 nt
Organism: Dreissena polymorpha
Lineage: Eukaryota; Metazoa; Mollusca; Bivalvia; Myida; Dreissenidae
Exons: 4
Source: RefSeq, a predicted model, not a curated record